RNAcentral lists this ribosomal RNA (508 nucleotides) under uncultured Gemmatimonadota bacterium. RNAcentral's name for it is "bacterial SSU rRNA". It matches the Rfam family "Bacterial small subunit ribosomal RNA", at positions 8 to 522 of the family's 1533-position model. Lineage: Bacteria; Pseudomonadati; Gemmatimonadota. The record is from RNAcentral.
AGAGUUUGAUCAUGGCUCAGGACGAACGCUGGCGGCGUGCCUAACACAUGCAAGUCGAACGGGGCCAGGGGCAACUCUGGUUCAGUGGCGGACGGGUGCGUAACACGUGAGGAACAUGACUUUCGGCGGGGGAUAGCCGGCCCAACGGCCGGGUAAUACCGCGUACGACCUCUCGGGGACAUCCCCGGUUGGUGAAAGCAGCAAUGCACCGAAAGAGUGCCUCGCGGCCUAUCAGCUAGUUGGUGGGGUAACGGCUCACCAAGGCGACGACGGGUAGCUGGUCUGAGAGGAUGGCCAGCCACAUUGGGACUGAGACACGGCCCAGACUCCUACGGGAGGCAGCAGUGGGGAAUAUUGCGCAAUGGGCGAAAGCCUGACGCAGCGACGCCGCGUGUGGGAUGACGGCCUUCGGGUUGUAAACCACUGUCGGGAGGGACGAAUGCGCCGCAAGGCGAGUGACGGUACCUCCAAGGAAGCACCGGCUAACUCCGUGCCAGCAGCCGCGGUA